This 321-nucleotide ribosomal RNA is filed under the name uncultured eukaryote. RNAcentral's name for it is "partial 18S ribosomal RNA". It matches the Rfam family "Eukaryotic small subunit ribosomal RNA", at positions 1470 to 1796 of the family's 1831-position model. The record is from RNAcentral.
CCCUUAGAUGUUCUGGGCUGCACGCGUGCUACACUGAUUAUUUCAACAAGUGUUUUAACUGGAGAGUUUGCGUAAUCCUGAAAUGCUAUCGUGAUGGGAGUAGAGUAUUGUAUUUGUUAAUCUUUAACGAGGAAUUCCUAGUAAGUGUAGGUUUAUAAGUUGUUCUGAUUACGUCCCUGCCCUUUGUACACACCGCCCGUCGCACCUACCGAUUGGAUGGUCCGGUGAAGCCUCGGGAUUGUGGUUCUUGCCGCUUUAUUGUGGCGUGACCGCGAGAACUUGUCUAAACCUUAUCAUCUAGAGGAAGGUGAAGUCGUAACA